GACGAACGCUGGCGGCGUGCUUAACACAUGCAAGUCGAACGGAAAGGCCCUGCUUUUGUGGGGUGCUCGAGUGGCGAACGGGUGAGUAACACGUGAGUAACCUGCCCUUGACUUUGGGAUAACUUCAGGAAACUGGGGCUAAUACCGGAUAGGAGCUCCUGCUGCAUGGAGGGGGUUGGAAAGCUUCGGCGGUUGGGGAUGGACUCGCGGCUUAUCUGCUUGUUGGUGGGGGAGGGGCUUACCAAGGCUUUGACGGGUAGCCGGCCUGAGAGGGUUACCGGCCACAUUGGGACUGGGCUGCGGCCCAGACUACUACGGGAGGCAGCGGUGGGGAAUAUUGCACUAUGGGCGGAAGCCUGAUGCAGCGACGCCGCGUGCGGGAUGACGGCCUUCGGGUUGUAAACCGCUUUCGCCUGUGACGAAGCGUGAGUGACGGUAAUGGGUAAAGAAGCACCGGCUAACUACGUG
Molecule: ribosomal RNA, 468 nt
Filed under: uncultured bacterium
Lineage: Bacteria
Description: partial 16S ribosomal RNA
Rfam family: Bacterial small subunit ribosomal RNA
Source: RNAcentral